AGCUUGGGUGUGUGACGCGCUGUCUUCCCGCCCGCGUCAGGGACCUGCCCGACUCAGCGGUGAGGGCCCUGGCGGCACCGGCUCUGAGGGGCCCGGGGCGGCGGGCGGCCUGUGACUCUCGGGCGAGGCGGAGCCGCAGCGGCACGCCCCUGGGACUUGGGGGCGGGCCCGGGUUGGAGUCCGCCCCGCCGGCGGCGAGGCGGGCAGCGGGACACCGGGGCCUCACUGUUCUCCGAGGGCGUCCUACACCGCGCGUCACCCCUUGCCCGAUGCCGACUUUAGUGGUGGGCUUUCUUUUUCUUUUUCUUUUUCUUUUUUUUUUUUUUGUAAAAUGGCCGCCGCAAUGCUUUGAAAAGCUGCGCCAGCGAAAUGGCGGGACUGCCGAGUGCCCGGAUGGAAUGGCGCAGGGUGCGCGCUUGACGCAUGCGCUGCUCCGGGGGCGGGGCGCGCCUACCUCCAAAGUCCGGUUAUCCGCAUAUGUGGAGUUGCAUAUGUGGAGCUGUGUCGCUUGCGACCAGUUGUCUCUACCUCGGUUUUCUCUUCCCUUGUGGUUCCACGUGGGGAAAAAAACACAUGUAGUUUAAAAUGUUGCCCUUUUGUGUCCAAAGUUUGUUGCCCCCAGGUAGACUAGUUCAGCAGUAGCAUAGUGGACUUCUUUUCCAAGUGUUUG
Molecule: long non-coding RNA, 670 nt
Filed under: Rattus norvegicus (Norway rat)
Lineage: Eukaryota; Metazoa; Chordata; Mammalia; Rodentia; Muridae
Description: long non-coding RNA NONRATT026515
Source: RNAcentral